AGUCGACGAUGAAUCUUCUAGCUUGCUAGAAGUGGAUUAGUGGCGCACGGGUGAGUAAUGCAUAGGUUAUGUGCCCUUUAGUCUGGGAUAGCCACUGGAAACGGUGAUUAAUACUGGAUACUCCCUACGGGGGAAAGUUUUUCGCUAAAGGAUCAGCCUAUGUCCUAUCAGCUUGUUGGUGAGGUAAUGGCUCACCAAGGCUAUGACGGGUAUCCGGCCUGAGAGGGUGAUCGGACACACUGGAACUGAGACACGGUCCAGACUCCUACGGGAGGCAGCAGUAGGGAAUAUUGCUCAAUGGGGGAAACCCUGAAGCAGCAACGCCGCGUGGAGGAUGAAGGUUUUAGGAUUGUAAACUCCUUUUGUUAGAGAAGAUUAUGACGGUAUCUAACGAAUAAGCACCGGCUAACUCCGUGCCAGCAGCCGCGGUAAUACGGAGGGUGCAAGCGUUACUCGGAAUCACUGGGCGUAAAGAGUGCGUAGGCGGGGUAAUAAGUCAGAUGUGAAAUCCUGUAGCUUAACUACAGAACUGCAUUUGAAACUGUUACUCUGGAGUGUGGGAGAGGUAGGUGGAAUUCUUGGUGUAGGGGUAAAAUCCGUAGAGAUCAAGAGGAAUACUCAUUGCGAAGGCGACCUGCUGGAACAUUACUGACGCUGAUGCACGAAAGCGUGGGGAGCAAACAGGAUUAGAUACCCUGGUAGUCCACGCCCUAAACGAUGGAUGCUAGUUGUUGCCUUGCUUGUCAGGGCAGUAAUGCAGCUAACGCAUUAAGCAUCCCGCCUGGGGAGUACGGUCGCAAGAUUAAAACUCAAAGGAAUAGACGGGGACCCGCACAAGCGGUGGAGCAUGUGGUUUAAUUCGAGAUACGCGAAGAACCUUACCUAGGCUUGAC
Molecule: ribosomal RNA, 893 nt
Filed under: uncultured bacterium
Lineage: Bacteria
Description: bacterial SSU rRNA
Rfam family: Bacterial small subunit ribosomal RNA
Source: RNAcentral